UUUCCGUAGGUGAACCUGCGGAAGGAUCAUUAUUGUAUAACCGAGGUGCGAGGGCUGUCGCUGACCCGAAAGGUCGUGCGCGCCCGAGUGUGUCCCCUUGCAUAAUAAUCCAUCUCACCCUUUGUGCAUCACCGCGUGGGCACCCUUCGGGAUCAUCUCGGAGGGGGGCUCGCGUUUUCACACAAACCCCCCUUUUAAAAGUGUAGAAUGACCACAUUUAUGCAAUCAAUACAACUUUCAACAACGGAUCUCUUGGCUCUC
This 261-nucleotide unclassified non-coding RNA is filed under the name plant metagenome. RNAcentral describes it as "partial contains small subunit ribosomal RNA, internal transcribed spacer 1, and 5.8S ribosomal RNA". The record is from RNAcentral.